UACGUAGGGACCAAGCGUUGUCCGGAAUCAUUGGGCGUAAAGAGCGUGUAGGCGGCCUGUUAAGUCUUGCGUGAAAUCUCGGGGCUCAACCCCGAGCGGUCGUGAGAAACUGGCAGGCUAGAGUGCGGGAGAGGAGACUGGAAUUCAUGGUGUAGCAGUGAAAUGCGUAGAGAUCAUGAGGAAGACCAGUGGCGAAGGCGGGUCUCUGGACAGUUCCUGACACUGAGGCACGAAGGCCAGGGGAGCAAACGGG
This 253-nucleotide ribosomal RNA is filed under the name uncultured bacterium. RNAcentral describes it as "partial 16S ribosomal RNA". It matches the Rfam family "Bacterial small subunit ribosomal RNA", at positions 524 to 776 of the family's 1533-position model. The record is from RNAcentral.